GACGAACGCUGGCGGCGUGCCUAAUACAUGCAAGUAGAACGCUGAAGGAGGAGCUUGCUCUUCUGGAUGAGUUGCGAACGGGUGAGUAACGCGUAGGUAACCUGCCUGGUAGUGGGGGAUAACUAUUGGAAACGAUAGCUAAUACCGCAUAAUAACAGUUGUUGCAUGACAACUGUUUGAAAGGUGCAAUUGCAUCACUACCAGAUGGACCUGCGUUGUAUUAGCUAGUUGGUGGGGUAACGGCUCACCAAGGCGACGAUACAUAGCCGACCUGAGAGGGUGAUCGGCCACACUGGGACUGAGACACGGCCCAGACUCCUACGGGAGGCAGCAGUAGGGAAUCUUCGGCAAUGGACGAAAGUCUGACCGAGCAACGCCGCGUGAGUGAAGAAGGUUUUCGGAUCGUAAAGCUCUGUUGUAAGAGAAGAACGAGUGUGAGAGUGGAAAGUUCACACUGUGACGGUAUCGUACCAGAAAGGGACGGCUAACUACGUG
This 495-nucleotide ribosomal RNA is filed under the name uncultured bacterium. RNAcentral describes it as "partial 16S ribosomal RNA". It matches the Rfam family "Bacterial small subunit ribosomal RNA", at positions 28 to 507 of the family's 1533-position model. The record is from RNAcentral.